GCGCAACCCUUGUCCUAGUUACCAGCACGUUAUGGUGGGCACUCUAAGGAGACUGCCGGGUGACAAACCGGAGGAAGGUGGGGAUGACGUCAAGUCAUCAUGGCCCUUACGGCCUGGGCUACACACGUGCUACAAUGGUCGGUACAAAGGGUUGCCAAGCCGCGAGGUGGAGCUAAUCCCAUAAAACCGAUCGUAGUCCGGAUCGCAGUCUGCAACUCGACUGCGUGAAGUCGGAAUCGCUAGUAAUCGUGAAUCAGAAUGUCACGGUGAAUACGUUCCCGGGCCUU
RNAcentral lists this ribosomal RNA (287 nucleotides) under uncultured Pseudomonas sp. RNAcentral's name for it is "partial 16S ribosomal RNA". It matches the Rfam family "Bacterial small subunit ribosomal RNA", at positions 1096 to 1382 of the family's 1533-position model. The record is from RNAcentral. Lineage: Bacteria; Pseudomonadati; Pseudomonadota; Gammaproteobacteria; Pseudomonadales; Pseudomonadaceae.